This 336-nucleotide ribosomal RNA is filed under the name uncultured Nitrospira sp. RNAcentral describes it as "bacterial SSU rRNA". It matches the Rfam family "Bacterial small subunit ribosomal RNA", at positions 335 to 672 of the family's 1533-position model. The record is from RNAcentral. Lineage: Bacteria; Pseudomonadati; Nitrospirota; Nitrospiria; Nitrospirales; Nitrospiraceae.
ACUCCUACGGGAGGCAGCAGUAAGGAAUAUUGCGCAAUGGGCGAAAGCCUGACGCAGCGACGCCGCGUGGGGGAUGAAGGUCUUCGGAUUGUAAACCCCUUUCGGGAGGGAAGAUGGAGCGAGCAAUCGUUCGGACGGUACCUCCAGAAGCAGCCACGGCCAACUUCGUGCCAGCAGCCGCGGUAAUACGAAGGUGGCAAGCGUUGUUCGGAUUCACUGGGCGUACAGGGUGUGUAGGCGGUCUGGUAAGCUUUCUGUUAAAGCUUCGGGCCCAACCCGNAAAGCGCAGAGGGUACUGCCAGGCUAGAGGGUGGGAGAGGAAAAGGGGAAUUCCCG